CCUCUCUCGGCUUCUUCGGCUGAACCGGAAAUAAUCGGUUGGCAUUAGCAACGUUUCGGCCGAUCCAGGCCAGAAUACAGAGAUAGCAGAAGAGACAGAAACAAACAGACAGAAAACACUGAAGAACAGGCUAACAUUCCCGUUGAGCCUCAUACUGAGAUUGUGAGGCAAGAGACUAUAGCAGAAUGACAAGCUCCUCUACCCCUAGAAUGCACACGUACAAGAGGACUUCCAGCCCUCGAUCACCAACAAAUACAGGAGAGCUUUUCACACCAGCACAUGAAGAAAAUGUGCGCUUCAUCUAUGAUACUUGGCUUUGUGUUUUAAGAGACAUUAAAUCCCCACAAAAUAGUGAACGUAAUGAUCGUGGACCACAGGAGUAUGUGGAGAAAAACCCAACUCCCAACCUACAUUGUGAGCUUACUUUUAUGU
Long non-coding RNA from Sinocyclocheilus grahami, 432 nucleotides. RefSeq lists it as uncharacterized. NCBI's taxonomy places the organism in Eukaryota, Metazoa, Chordata, Actinopteri, Cypriniformes, Cyprinidae. The record is from RefSeq and is a predicted model, not a curated record. The transcript has 4 exons.